AGACGCUCGUUUGACAGCUUAACACAUGCAAGUCGAGCGGGGAAGGGUAGCUUGCUACCUGACCUAGCGGCGGACGGGUGAGUAAUGCUUAGGAAUCUGCCUAUUAGUGGGGGACAACAUCUCGAAAGGGAUGCUAAUUACCGCAUACGUUCCUACGGGAGAAAGCAGGGGCAUCUUCGGAACCUUGGCGCUAAUAGAUGAGCCUAAGUCGGAUUAGCUAGUUGGUUGGGGU
Molecule: ribosomal RNA, 232 nt
Filed under: uncultured bacterium
Lineage: Bacteria
Description: partial 16S ribosomal RNA
Rfam family: Bacterial small subunit ribosomal RNA
Source: RNAcentral